This 69-nucleotide transfer RNA is filed under the name Marmota marmota marmota (Alpine marmot). It matches the Rfam family "tRNA". From Rfam's summary of the family: Transfer RNA (tRNA) molecules are approximately 80 nucleotides in length. Their secondary structure includes four short double-helical elements and three loops (D, anti-codon, and T loops). Further hydrogen bonds mediate the characteristic L-shaped molecular structure. tRNAs have two regions of fundamental functional importance: the anti-codon, which is responsible for specific mRNA codon recognition, and the 3' end, to which the tRNAs corresponding amino acid is attached (by aminoacyl-tRNA synthetases). tRNAs cope with the degeneracy of the genetic code in two manners: having more than one tRNA (with a specific anti-codon) for a particular amino acid; and 'wobble' base-pairing, i.e. permitting non-standard base-pairing at the 3rd anti-codon position. The record is from Rfam by way of RNAcentral. RNAcentral also lists the same sequence under 1 other name. Lineage: Eukaryota; Metazoa; Chordata; Mammalia; Rodentia; Sciuridae.
GGUGUUGUAGCUCAGUGGCAGAGUGCUUAUCUCACAUAUGUGAGGCAUUGGGUUUGAUCCUCAGCACCA